This 263-nucleotide signal recognition particle RNA is filed under the name Dehalococcoidia bacterium. RNAcentral's name for it is "signal recognition particle sRNA large type". It matches the Rfam family "Bacterial large signal recognition particle RNA". Rfam says of the family: The signal recognition particle (SRP) is a universally conserved ribonucleoprotein involved in the co-translational targeting of proteins to membranes. Lineage: Bacteria; Bacillati; Chloroflexota; Dehalococcoidia. The record is from RNAcentral.
CCGUGCUAGGCGGGGAGAUAGCGGUGCCCUGUACCCGCAAUCCGCUACAGCGGGGUUGAAUUCCCCUCAGAGGGCCGGUCUACUAGCCUCCACCUGCACUGCGUGGCGUUGAGGGCCGGGCCCUGCGCGGCAGAGAGCUAUGAACCCCGCCAGAUCCGGAAGGAAGCAACGGUAAAUAGUUACCUCUGAGCGCCGCAGGAACUCCUGGUCUGAGCCGGGCGGUGCGGGCGCGCGGGUGGGCCGGGACGACGAGGGGUGCACGG